Molecule: long non-coding RNA, 967 nt
Organism: Vespa crabro (European hornet)
Lineage: Eukaryota; Metazoa; Arthropoda; Insecta; Hymenoptera; Vespidae
Exons: 3
Source: RefSeq, a predicted model, not a curated record
UUUGUUGCCAGCCGGACGGUCGGUAAAGUAGCUUAUUUUUCGUGUGUUCGUAAAUCUCGUAAGUCAAACGACGUGGAACUUAUAUAUCUCUUUUCUGCUUCGAGUUUUACAAAAGGAUAUAGAAAAUGAUUGAACGAGGAAUCAAUAGUAUCAAGUAUGACAUAUCAUAUUCCAAGAAAGACAUUAUUAUUUGUCAGGAUGAACGUUUAUACGAUUCUCCGCGCCAUCUGUGGAGCUUACGGAGAAACAAAAUUACUGAAGAUACGAGAAGGCGCGAAAAUAUUCAAAAAAGAAUAUUUGAAAUAACGUUCUGAUAAAAUAUUUUAAACAUUUCUAUAACAUUCGCAUGGAUAUUUUCGAUAAAAGAUAUUUAUAUUAAAAAGAUUGAAAGUCGUAUGAGCUUAUAAGAAAAACAGUUUUACGAAGGUAAUUACGAAAGAACGAGACGAUAAAAGUGCGUAGAUCAUUCUUCGUCCUUGUAUGGUUUACAAGACUCGAUGAGUUUCAAACUUGCAAGAGUAUAUAUAUAUAUAUAUAUAUAUAUAUAUAUAUAUAUAUAUAUAUAUAUGGCGUCCAUUUACUUCCACAGCAAGUCCAUAUAUGGAUAACGGUUUUAAAACCACCCAAAGACAUUCCUUAUUUUACUUACUUUCGUAUACAUAUAUUUAUAUAUGUAUACAAUAUAUUCUGGUUGAUACGUGUUAAUAGGUCAUUCUUCCUUUAAUGAUUCUCACAUAGUAUAAAACAACAUAUAGUGUCACAGAUGUUUUUUUAUUAAAUCUGUGGUAAAAUGUAGAAAUAAAAAAAUUCAAAGAAAAGAAAAGAAAUGUUACAUGUAUAACACUUCCUUUAAGAAUUAAUUGUUUGUAUUUCAAUUGUCUCAAAAGUAGAGAGACCAAGAUAUGGAUUAUUAAAAUAGAUAAGACAUACACACUUUUUUAUGAAUAAAAAUCAUUAUUUUCUUUUA